RNAcentral lists this long non-coding RNA (430 nucleotides) under Homo sapiens (human). RNAcentral describes it as "HSALNT0307975". Lineage: Eukaryota; Metazoa; Chordata; Mammalia; Primates; Hominidae. The record is from RNAcentral.
AGGCGGGGGGCUGACCCCCCCACCUCCCUCCCGGACGGGGUGGCUGGCCUGGCGGGGGGCUGACCCCCCCACCUCCCUCCCGGACGGGGCGGCUGGCCGGGCAGAGGGGCUCCUCACAUCCCAGACGAUGGGCAGCCAGGCAGAGACACUCCUCACUUCCCAGACGGGGUGGCGGCCGGGCAGAGGCUGCAAUCUCCGCACUUUGGGGGGGCCAAGGCAGGCGGCUGGGAGGUGGAGGCCAUAGCGAGCCGAGAUCACGCCACUGCACUCCAGCCUGGGCACCAUUGAGCACUGAGUGAAUGAGACUCCGUCUGCAAUCCCGGCACCUCGGGAGGCCGAGGCUGGCGGAUCACUCGCGGCUAGGAGCUGGAGACCAGUCCGGCCAACACAGCGAAACCCCGUCCCCACCAAAAAAACACGAAAACCAGUC